This 1384-nucleotide ribosomal RNA is filed under the name metagenome. RNAcentral's name for it is "bacterial SSU rRNA". It matches the Rfam family "Bacterial small subunit ribosomal RNA", at positions 8 to 1370 of the family's 1533-position model. The record is from RNAcentral.
AGAGUUUGAUCCUGGCUCAGAUUGAACGCUGGCGGCAUGCCUAACACAUGCAAGUCGAACGGAAACGACGAAAACAAUCCCUUCGGGGUGCGUCUUCGGGCGUCGAGUGGCGGACGGGUGCGUAACGCGUAGGAAUCUACCUUAUAGUGGGGGAUAAUUUGAGGAAACUCGAGUUAAUAUUGUAUAAUCCUUAUGAGGGAAAGCAGGGGAUUUUUGGACCUUGUGUUAUUAGAUGAGUCUGCGUCGGAUUAGCUUGUUGGUAGGGUAAUGGCCUACCAAGGCAACGAUCCGUAGCUGGUCUGAGAGGACGACCAGCCACACUGGGACUGAGAUAUGGCCCAGACUCCUACGGGAGGCAGCAGUGGGGAAUAUUGGAUAAUGGGCGUAAGCCUGAUUUAGCAAUGCCGCGUGUGUGAAGAAGGCCUUAGGGUUGUAAAGCACUUUCAGUAGGGAAGAAAUGCGUGUAGCUAAUAACUGCGCGUCUUGACGGUACCUACAGAAGAAGCACCGGCUAACUCCGUGCUAGUAGUUGUGGUAAUAUGGAGGGUGCAAGCGUUAAUCGGAAUUACUGGGCGUAAAGCGCGCGUAGGCGGUUACAUAAGUCGGAUGUGAAAGCCCUGGGUUCAACCUGGGAACUGCAUUCGAUACUGUAUAACUAGAGUUUGGUAGAGGGAAGUGGAAUUCCACAUGUAGCGGUGGAAUGCGUAGAUAUGUGGAGGAACACCAGUGGUGAAGGUGACUUCCUGGACCAAAACUGACGCUGAGGUGCGAAAGCGUGGGUAGCAAACAGGAUUAGAUACCCUGGUAGUCCACGCCGUAAACGAUGUCAACUAGCCGUUGGGGGAAUUUGUCCCUUAGUGGCGCAGCUAACGCGAUAAGUUGACCGCCUGGGGAGUACGGUCGCAAGAUUAAAACUCAAAGGAAUUGACGGGGGCCCGCACAAGCGGUGGAGCAUGUGGUUUAAUUCGAUGCAAUGUGAAGAACCUUACCAGCCCUUGACAUCCUCGGAAUUUAUUAGAGAUAGUUUGGUGUUUUUGGGAAUUGAGUGAUAGGUGCUGCAUGGCUGUCGUCAGCUCGUGUUGUGAGAUGUUGGGUUAAGUUUUGUAACGAGCGCAACCCCUAUCCUUAGUUGUUAGUAUGUAAUGGUGGGAAUUUUAGGGAGGUUGUUGGUGAUAAAUUGGAGGAAGGUGGGGAUGACGUCAAGUCAUCAUGCCCUUAUGGGCUGGGCUACACACGUGCUACAAUGGCCGGUACAGAGGGUUGCUAAUUUGUGAGGGGGAGUUAAUCCCAGAAAGCCGGUCGUAGUCCGGAUUGGAGUCUGCAACUCGACUCCAUGAAGUCGGAAUUGUUAGUAAUCGCGGAUUAGAAUGCCGCGGUGAAUACG